AAAAAUAUAGAAUUCAUUUUCUGUAAACCCAAUCUGCGUACUUGUACCUGUUGCUUCCGCGAGCCAGUGGACGUAUAUGUAUGAAAAUACGUAUAAGUUCACUCUCUGGUGUCAUUCCGUGGAAUGACUGUACCACCGAGUGCUCGCGGGAGGUCUUCAUAAACUCUGUUUUUUUGAACUCAGUCUGAAUAUUACUAUAAUAAGUCA
Molecule: unclassified non-coding RNA, 207 nt
Filed under: uncultured Ascomycota
Lineage: Eukaryota; Fungi; Ascomycota
Description: sequence contains ITS1
Source: RNAcentral